GAACCGUGCAAACGUUGUUCGGAAUCACUGGGCUUAAAGGGCGCGUAGGCGGGGGACCAAGUCCGGGGUGAAAUCUUUCGGCUCAACCGGAAAACUGCCUUGGAUACUGGUCUUCUUGAGGGAGGUAGGGGCAGGUGGAACUUCCGGUGGAGCGGUGAAAUGCGUUGAUAUCGGAAGGAACGCCGGUGGCGAAAGCGGCCUGCUGGAUCUCUUCUGACGCUGAGGCGCGAAAGCUAGGGGAGCGAACGGGAUUAGAUACCCCGGUAGUCCUAGCCCUAAACGAUGGGUACUAGGUUGCGGACUUGACAUGGGUUCGCAGCCGAAGCAAAAGUGUUAAGUACCCCGCCUGGGGAGUAUGGUCGCAAGGCUGAA
Molecule: ribosomal RNA, 372 nt
Filed under: uncultured bacterium
Lineage: Bacteria
Description: bacterial SSU rRNA
Rfam family: Bacterial small subunit ribosomal RNA
Source: RNAcentral